GGCUGUCACGGUCGCUGCCCACCCGGGUUCUUCGCUGCUUCUAGUUCCGGGCGCUUUGCCGGGCGUUAAUGGCGGCCAACAUCGCCGGUGCUGCGGCUUUCUCCCUAAAGUGUCACAGGAGCUAAGGGCGCUGCUUAACGAACUGCAGAAGACGCAGGCAGGUGAAGGACACCGGUUCUGCUGCGGCAGUGGAAUGUGGCGGAGAAGCUGGCGGGUAGGGCGGGGAGCAAGCCUGGAGGUCCUGGCGGACCCCACCAUUCGACAGGGCUUGGUGUGUUAUUGCUUCUAGGCCUUUUCAGCGGACAGAACUGGGAUGGAUACACACAUGCUUAUUUGAAAUCAUGCGUUUGUUCCAUACUCCAAUGUCAGCCCACCCCUUCUUUGCCCAAGUUGCUCUAUGGUCAAGUGAGCGAGAGCAGGUGCCUGCAUUUCCAGCCUCGUGGCUCACCGCCUCCUUCCAGUAGUCCCAUGUUGCUUCACACCUCUUAAGUACAUGUACUUCUGUGAACCCAGAGCCUUGGCUUUGAAAUCAGACAACCCCAGUUUCAAACGUGGCGCUGCCACUCACGAGUUUUGUGAUUUUGGCAUACCCCUGUCUGCAUGGGGAUAAUAACUUCUAUCUCCAUAGGUGUGGUGAGGAUAAAAGUCUAUGCAUGGAGGAAAUGUUCAUUCAGUGGUAGCUAUUUCUAAUUCUGUUCUUCUGGACCUAUGAUUCUAUCUACGAUGCCUCAUUUUUUUUCCUUUUUAAUCAAUUGGCAAACUUGUGCUCUGAGACCCAGCUUGUUACAUCUCUGAUGACAGCUGAUAUCCUCAGGAUAUUCCGUACUUCCUUUCUCCCUAUUACUUUACUAUGAAUAUAUGAAUAACAUUGUGCUUAUUGCAUGCAACAAAUAUUUAUUAGAUGAAUGACAUUAAAAUUCACCUUUAAAAUGCCAUCCUUUAUGAGAGGUGAGAAAUAGAACUUUUCCUUCGACAUGGCUGUACAUGUUCAACAACUAGAAUAAAACAGUCAUCAUGAACCCUCAAUCCAGUAUUCUUUUUAUAAUAUAGCUGCCUGUCAGUUUUCACUGUUCUUUUAUUAGACCAGUGAUUUUCAAACCUUUUUAAAGGCAUACAGUGCUUUAUUCAAAUCUAAUCUUAUAUGGAACCCUCAACACAUAAAUAUUAAGAUAAAAAUAAAGCUGCCAUUGUUGCAAUUAGAAGUUUGAGAGGUUAGAAUAGGUAGGAAGUCUCGGAGGAACAUUUCUUCGUUUUACCUGCUUUAACAGUCAGAGAAGUACCUCAGCCAGCAGAAAAAUUUAUUUGUUCAUAAAUUCCUUGAGUAUAGAGUCCGUAUCUUAUUUUUGUGGCCUCCAAUGCUAGUGCUGUGCAGUUUUCUUGAAAGUGCAUUUUAUUGGUCUCAGCAAAUUGAACUCAAGCAUUUCUGUGUUCUUUUACUUUUCCUCUUUGUGGAAUUAAGGGGAUUGCUAAUUUGUAUUUUUAAAGAAAGAACAUUAUUCCGGGCGCGGUGGCUCACGCCUGUAAUCCCAGCACUUGGGGAGGCCAAGGAGGGCAAAUCACCUGAGAUCAGGAGUUCAAGACAAGGCUGACCAACAUGGCAAAACCCCGUCUCUACUAAAAAUACAAAAAUUAGCUGGGCGUGUUGGCACGCGCCUGUAAUCCCAGCCACUCAGGAAGCUGAGGCAGGAGAAUCGCUUGAACCCGGGAAGCAGAGGUUGCAGUGACAGAGAUCGUGCCACUGCACUCCAGCCUGGUGAGAGCAAGACUCUGUCUCAAAAAAAAAAAAAAAAAAUUGGCAAGUUUGGCCCUAAAAUUUAUAUGAAAUGAAAAGGAACCAGAAUAAAAGGAUUUCGAAACAGAAAAAGAUGGAGAACUUCCACUACCUGAAUUCAAAACUUAUUAUAAAGCUACAGUAAUGAAGACUGUAAUACUGGCAUAGAGGCAGAUAUAUCGAUCAAUGGAAUCAAAUAGUCCACAAAUAAACCUUUACAUUAUGGUCAGUUGAUUUUCAACAAUGGUGCUAAAACAAUCCAUGGGGAAAGGGUAAUCUUUUCAAUGAAUGAUGUGGGAGGGAAAAAAAAGAACUUUGAUUCUUACCUCACAUCACACAUAAAAAUUGAUUUAAGUGGAUCAUAGACCUAAAUAUAAAAGCUAAAACUAUAAAUUUCAGAAGAAAAAGAGGAAAAUCUUUUGAUAUUAAGUUAAGCAAAGUUUGCUUAGAUAUGACGCUAAAAUCGUGAUCUAUAAAAGAAAAAAUUGAUAGUUGACAUAAUAGAAAUUUAAAGCUUUUAGUUCAUGUAUUGAAACAAAAAAUCUAGACUGGGACAAUGGCUCACAUCUGUAAUCCCAGCACUUUGGGAGACCAAGGUGGGUGGAUCGCUUGAGCUCAGGAGUUCAAGACCAGCCUAGGCCAGAUGGUGAAACCCCAUCUCUACAAAAAAUACAAAAAUUAGCUGUGCAUAUAGUCCCAGCUACUUGGGAGGCAGAGGUGGGAAGAUGGUUUGAGCCCAGGAGGCAGAAUUUGCAGUGAGCUGAGAUUGCGCUACUACGCUACAGCCUGGGUGACAGCCAGACCCUAUCUAAAAAAAAAAAAAAAAAAAAAAGAAGAAGAAAACAAAAACAAAAAAUCUUGGUCUGUCUUAGGCAACAAGCAAUUAAAAAAAAAGUAGAAAAUAAAGCAAAAGGGCCGGGCGCAGUGGCUCACGCCUGUAAUUCCAGCACUUUGGGAGACUGAGGCGAGUGGAUCACCUGAGGUCAGGAGUUUGAGACCAGCCUCGCCAACAUGGUGAAACCCCAUCUCUACUAAAUACAAAAAUUAGCUGGGCGUGGUGGCGGGCACCUGCAAUCCCAGCUACUUGGGAGGCUGAGGCAGGAGAAUUGCUUAAAUCCAGGAGGCAAAGGUUGCAGUGAGCCAAAAUCAUGCCACUGCACUCCAGCCUGGGCAACAGAGCAUAACUCCAUCUCAAAAAAAAAAAAAAAAAAGAAAAAGAAAAAGAAAAGCCAUGAACUAGAAGAAAAUAUUUGAAUAGAUAUUUUACCAAAGAAGAUUUAUGAAUGGCAAAUAAGUACAUAAAAAGAUAUUCAUCAUCAUUAAUCAUUAGAGAAAUGCACAUUGAAAGCAUAAUAAGAUAACACUUAAUACCCACUAGAAUGGCUAUAAUCAGAAAAAUAGAAAACAAGUUUUGGCGGGGCUAGGUGGCUCACACCUGUAAUCCCAACACUUUGGGAAGCCAAGGCGAGUGGCUCACUUCAGGUCAGGAGUUUGAGACCAGCCUGACCCAACAUGGUGAAACCCCGUCUCUACUAAAAAAUACAAAAAUUAGCCGGGCGUGGUGGCAGGUGCCUGUAAUCCCUGCUACUUGGGAGGCUCAGGCAGGAGAAUCGCUUAAACCUGGGAGGCAGAGAUUGCAGUGAGCGGAGAUCGUGCCACUGCACUCCAGCCUGGGUGACAGCGAGACUCCGUCUCAAAAACAAACAAAACAAAAUAAAACAAAAAAAAAUGGAAAACAAGUUUGGCAAGAAUGUGGAGAAACAAACACUCCUACAUUCCUGGUGAGAAUGUAAAAUGGUACAGGCACUUUGGAAAGCAGUUUGACAGUUUUUUAAAAAAUUAAGCAUAAAUUGCCAUAUAACCCAGCAAUUUCACGCCUAGGUAUAUACCUAAAAGAAAUGAAAACAUAUGUCCAUGGACUCAUACCUACAUGUCCAUUGCAGAAUUACUCAUAAUAGGCAAAAAGUGGAAACUAUUCAAAUGUCUUAUCAGUUUGUGAAUGAGUAAACAAUAUGUAGUACAGCCAUACAAUAGAAUAUUUGGUGAUAAAAAUAAACCAAUACAUGCUGUAACAUGGAUGAAAGUAAAAAAACACUAUAGCAGAUAAAAAGACUGUGAUUUCAUAGGAAAAUCACAAAUAUAGAAAAAGCAAGAUUAUAGAUACAGAAAGCAGGUUAGUGAUUGCUGGGGCUGAAACUGGAAGCCAGGUUUGGCUGCAGAUGGGCAUGGGACAACUUUACGGAUUGAUGGAAUACUAAAACUAGAUUUUGGUAAUGGUUACACAACCAUAAAAAUUUACUAAAAAUAAACUGCACACUUGUAAUAGGUAAAUUUUGAGAUGUGUAAAUUUCAUGUUGUAACUCCAAUAAGGCUUUAAAAAAUUUAAGUUACCUGCCCAAAUGUACCUAUCAUGUAGCAGAAGCAGGAUUAGACACAGGUGUGCCUGUCCUCAAAGCCUGAGCUCUGUUUACCCAGAGUUUUGGAAACUCCAGAUCUAUCAUGAAAACCUAAGUCAUUCUUAACCCGAGUCAUCCUACUCAGGAAUGACUUUUUUAUUAUAAUUUUAUUGUUUUUUAUUUUAUUGUAUUUAAAAGAAAUAGAGAUUGUGGCUGGGCACGGUGGCUCAUGCCUGCAAUGCCAGCACUUGGGGAGGCCAAGGCAGGUGGAUCAGUGGAGGCCAGAAAUUCAAUACCAGUCUAGCCAACAUGGUGAAACCCCAUCUCUAUUAAAAAUACAAAAAUUAGCUGAUUGGCCUGGGAGGCAGAGGUUGUAGUGAGCUGAAAUCACCCCACAGCACUCCAGCCUGGGUGACAGAGUGAGACCCUGUCUCAAAAAAAAAAAAAAAAAAAGGAAAGAAAAAGAAAGAGGGAGAGCAAGAAAGAAAGAGAGAGAGAGAAAGAAAGAAAAGAAAAAAAAAGGAAAGAGGGAGGGGGAGAGAGAGAGAAAGAGAGAGGGAGAGAGAGAGAGAGAUUGGGUCUCGCUAUGUUAACCAGGUUGGUCCCCAACUCCUGGCCUCAAGUGAUCCUCAUCUCAUUGGGAUCCUCCCUCCCAAUCCCAACGUGUUAGGAUUACAGGUGUAAGCCACUGCACCUGGCCUAGGAAGGACUUUUUGGGAGGGAUUCUAUCAUCUCACUUGGAUCUGGGAAUACAGGUAUGAGCCACCAUGCCCAGCCUGAGAACAAUACAAUUAUUCUUUUCUAGCUAUUUUGAAAUAUAUGAUAAAAUAUUGUCAACUAUAAUUUCCCUAUUGUAUUUUCAAAUACUAGAACUUCUAUCUAACUGUAUUUUUUUGACAAUUAACUAAUUUCUCUUUGUCUUCGCCCUCCCCAGUUUCCCUUCCCAGACUCUGAUAACGACCAUUCUAUUCUCUAUCUCCAUGGUAUCUACUAUUUUACCUCCCAUAUAACAUGAAGCAUACUGAAGUAGAGACGGCAGGAUUUUCUCAUGCAUGGAAUAUGGGAUGUGAAUGAAAACAGAAGGAUCACUUGAUGGCUGCGGACCUGAGCAACUGGAGGGAUGGAGUUGCAAUUAGGUGAAGUGAGGAAUUCAGCAGGGGAAGCAAGUUUUGGGGCAGAAGAUUUUAUCAGGGAUAUUUUAGUAAUUAAAUAGUUAGAUUAGUGUCUUAAUCACAACUCCACAUCCUUACCUGAUUUGGAGCUUCUGUCAGUCUCCCAGCUCUGAGCUGCUUCAGGCUGGGAAGCCGACAGUCGGGGAGAAGUCAUGGAUAGCUUCUGGUCCUCUUUUCCCACUGUGGCUGUCCUCCUCUUCCCCGGCCCUCACUAUGUUGUCUCCAGCUCCUCUUCUGGGACAGGAAGGGACAGAAAGAUCUUACUGACAGGUACCCCAUGAAGGUACCCCCUAGGGGAUGGAGAUCCCAGGGCUUCCCCUCCUUGAGUCCCUCAGAGAUUCCUGGUAAUGCCUCUCAUCUGACUGCCAUUUUGACCGCUCCCUGUCAUCUUUCAGGCCACCUCUCUUUUGGGAUCCCAUGGUCUUUCUAGGGAAGGAUCCAAGAGGGACCCAGGAUCCACAUUUGGUCCAUAAGAACCACCCGUACUUUGCCCUGUCCUCAGAGGGCGUGUAGUCCACAUCUAACACAGCCCUCUCUACUCUGCCACCUCUGGCCACUUUGGCCUGGAGAAUGUUUUCAGAACUCAUCUCUGUACUACACAAACUCUAAGGACCUCAAGUCAGAUUCUCCAAGGAGUUCUCUUGAGGUCCUUUCUGUUGCCUACUUAAAGUGACCUGGCAACUAACCAAACACACAUACAAUUAACAGAAGACAUAUGGAUGGAUGGCCAUAGGAGCAUAAUAGUCAUAAUCUGGAAACAAUCCAAAUUUUAAUCAGUAAUAGAAAUGGAUAAAUAGUGGGCCUGGCACAGUGGCUCACAUCUGUAACCCUAGCACUUUGGGAGGCUGAGCUGGGAGAAUUGCUUGAGCCCAGAAGUUUAAGACCAGCCUGGGCAACAUGGCAAAACCCCAUCUCUAGCCAAAAAAACCCACAAAAAUUAGCCAGUUGUGAUGGUGCACACUUGUAGUCUCAGCUACUACUUGGGAGGCUUAGGUGGGAGGAUUGCUUGAGGCUGGUAGGUGGAGGUUGCAGUGAGCUGAGAUCCCACCACUGCCCUCCAGCCUGGGUGACACAGCAAGACCUCGUCUCAAAAAAAAAAAAAAAAAAGAAUGGAUAAAUAAUGGUAGCAUAUUUUUUAAUGCAAUUUUUUAAAAAAGAAUGAACUACUACCACAAUGUGGGUAAAUUUCACAGGCAUAUGUUAAGUCAAAGAAACAAAAUACAGGCAGGGCAUAGUGGCUCACGCCUGUAAUCCCAGCACUUUGGGAGGCUGAGGCGGGCGGAUCACAAGGUCAGGAGAUCAGGACCAUCCUGGCUAACACGGUGAAACCCCAUCUCUACUAAAAAUACAAAAAAUUAGCUGGGCAUGGUGGCAUGCGCCUGUAAUCCCAGCUACUUGGGAGGCUGAGGCAGGAGAAUCACUUGAACCCGGGAGGUGCAGGUUGUAGUCAGCUGAGAUUGCGCCACUGCACUCCAGCCUGGGCGACAGAGCGAGACUCCAUCUCAAAAAAAAAAAAAAAAAAAAAAAAGAAAAAGAAAAGAAACAAAAUACAAAAGAAUGCAUACAGUUUGAUUCCAUUUAUAUGACUUUCAACAACAGGCAAAACUAAUCUAUGCUGUUAGAAGUCAAGAUAGUAGGGUAAGUAGUGAGUGGACAAGAGGGAGGUUUUGGGGAGAUCUACUGGAAUAUGCUCUAACUUAAUCUGGGUGAUGAUUACAUUUGUUACGUAAUGGGCUUAUACAUUUCUACAGUUUCAUCUAGCUCUACAGUUGAGAUGUGUGCAUUUUAUUACAUAUAUGUUUACUAAGAAAGUGAAAAGACAAUUCACGGAGAAAUUUUUCUCCCUAUUAUUCAUACAUUGCAUUUUCAUCAUUUGAUAACAUGAGUUGGGGAUUAUUUACAAAGAAUGCUUUAGUUGUGAGGACAUUCUAAGCCUAAAACUGGCAGAGACAUUUCAAAAAUGAAAAUGUUAUGUCUAAGGAAAAACAGCCCUCUUCCUUUGCUGCCUGUGACCGCUGUUACCACACUUCUCAGGUUCUCCUAAGCGAGCAGCGUGGCUUCCUGGGCUUCUACCAGAAUUUACCAGCAGGGGUCAGCCCUGUACAAAACCCAGGCGCUUGAGCCUCCCGUGAAUUGGAACUUGCUCUCUGGUUCUGUCAAGCCAUUCUGGCCUUUUAGCUUUCUCACUUCACAUUCCCAGCUACACUUCCUUCUGCUCUGUUACCACCACCCACUCCCGUGAUCACAACAUGGACCAGAAACUUCACAGCCUUCCUCACUCAUUCAAACACGCUCUCCUCUCCUUCCGUGCUCUCAAGUAACCCCCGCAGCAACAGUCCUUUCAGCUUAGCAAGCUCUUCAGUCCAAGCCCUGCUGCUUUCUCUCCAUCCUGCAGUCCCCUCCUCUCUUCACUCUCCCCUUUUCAACCCAGACAUCACGGGUCAUCAAUGAAAUCACUUUUGCAAACACCUCCAACUCUUUGACCAUUCUAGGCCUCAGCUCCUAACCCCUUAGGAUUUUCUGGCCGGGCGCGGUGGCUCACGUCUGUAAUCCCAGCACUUUGGGAGGCCGAGGUGGGCGGAUCAUUUGAGGUCAGGGGUUCCAGACCAGCCUGGCCAACAUGGUGAACCCCGUCUCUGCUAAAAAUACAAAAAUUAGCUGGGUGCGGUGGUGGGCGCCUGCAAUCCCAGCUACUUGGGAGACAGGGGAAUCGCUUGAACCCAGGAGGCAGACGUUGCAGUGAGCCGAGAUUGCGCCACUGCAGCACUGCCGCUUGGGCAACAAGAGUAGAAAAAAAAAAAAGUUAAAAAAAAAAAAAGGAUUUUCUGUUGCACUUGGGAUAAAGUACAAAGCCCAAUACAGAGCCCCCAAGGCCCUGAGUGACCCAACCUUGGGCUGGUAUCUCUCCCACCAUGACUCAUGCACAGCACUCCCCUCUCCAUGUUUUCCACUCUUCCCUCUCCCAGUGGAGAAAAAGUCAUUUCCUCCAAGUCCACUCUCUCAUUCUCUUUCCUAACAAGGGGUUUAUUUCCUUCAAGACACAAUAUAAAACUUUAUCAUAUUUGUAUAAUUGCGUAUUUAAUGUUUGUCUUCCGCUUGGGGCUGUGCACUCAACAGAAGCAGUGCCAAGCACUUGCUAGGUUCAUAGAAGACACUUAAGUGUUUGUUGGCCAGGCGUGGGGGCUCACGCCUAUAAUCCCAGCACUUUGGGAGGCUGAGGCGGGCAGGUAGCUUGACCCCAGGAGUUUGAGACCAGCCUGAGCAACAUGGCGAAACACCGCCUCUACAAAUAAUUGAAAAAAUUAGCCGGGUGCGGCCAGGCGCGGCGGCUCACGCCUGUAAUUCCAGCACGUGGGAGGCCGAGGCGGGUGGAUCACAGGGUCAGGAGUUUGAGACCAGCCUGGCCAACAUGGUGAAACCCCAUCUCUACUAAAAAUACAAAAAUUAGCCGGGCGUGGUGGCACUCGUCUGUAGUCCCAGCUCCUCAGGAGGCUGAGAAGGGAGAAUCGCUUAAACCUAGGAGGUGGAGGUUGCAGUGAGCAGAGAUCAUGCCACUGCACUCCAGCCAGGGCGACAGAGCCUCCAGAGCGAGACUCCGUCUCAAAAAAAAAAAAAAUUAUCCGGGUGCUACUCGGGAAGCUACUGUAACCCCCAGCUACUCAGGAAGCUGAGGUGGGAAGAUCUCUGGAGCCUGGGCUGUUGAGGCUGCAGUGAGCUGAGAUUGCGCCACUGCAUUCCAGCCAGCCUGGGUGACAGACUGAGACCCUGUCUCAAAAAAAAAAAAAAAAAAAAAAAAAAAAAAGAAGAAAGAAAGAAAGAAAGAAGGAAAUGUUUGUUGAAUUAGAAUGUCAAUCUAGACCUUGACCCCACCAAGACAGAAGACAGGUGUAGUGCCCUCUGUUAUUUAGAAAAAUAAUCGUAGUAGCACUUUACAUUUGUAUAGUAUUUGUCUUUUCAAAGUACUUUAACAUCUAUUAUCAUAAUAAUAAAGAUAGGUAAAAAUAGGUUGCAUACAAUAGGUAAGUGCUAUUUUCCCAUUUGACAGGUUAAAAAAAAAAUGAGUCACGAAGAAAGUUGGCUAAAAUAUCAGAGUAAGGACUAAAGCCAAAAUCUCUAACCUACCCAUUUGUACAUCUUAAUUAGUAAGUAAAUAUUCUGUCUUAUGAUCAAACUUGCAGUUGAGAUAAUAGCUUAAUAGGUAAGUGUUCAGCCCUAGAGACAUAAUGUUCAGUUUCCAAACCCAGCUCCAGUACUUAACUUGCUGUGUGACCUGGCACAAGUUACCUAACUUCCCUGAGCUUCAGUUUCUCCAUGCUUAAAGUGUGAAUAAUAAUGCCUAUCUGAGGUGGUUGUAGUGAGGUUAUAAAGAGUAUAUUGCUAGGAGUGGUGGCUCAUGCCUGUAAUCCCAGCACUUUGGGAGCCCAAGGUGGGCGGAUCACCUGAGGUCCCGUGUUCAAGACCAACCUGACCAACAUGGAGAAACCUCGUUUCUACUAAAAAUACAAAAUUAGCCAGGUGCGGUGGCUC
Molecule: long non-coding RNA, 9866 nt
Filed under: Homo sapiens (human)
Lineage: Eukaryota; Metazoa; Chordata; Mammalia; Primates; Hominidae
Description: HSALNT0032827
Source: RNAcentral